GCGCCUUGUUUUUAUUGAUAUUCAGGCCGCCUUCUAAGUGGGAUGUUGCAGGUUCGAGUCCUGCUGGGCGCGCCA
Molecule: transfer RNA, 75 nt
Filed under: Brevundimonas vesicularis
Lineage: Bacteria; Pseudomonadati; Pseudomonadota; Alphaproteobacteria; Caulobacterales; Caulobacteraceae
Description: tRNA-OTHER
Source: RNAcentral